This 1279-nucleotide ribosomal RNA is filed under the name metagenome. Its description in RNAcentral is "bacterial LSU rRNA". It matches the Rfam family "Bacterial large subunit ribosomal RNA", at positions 1628 to 2925 of the family's 2925-position model. The record is from RNAcentral.
AAAGCAUUAAGUACCUGUACCGUAAACCGACACAGGUGGGUUGGUAGAGUAUACCAAGGGGCGCGAGAUAACUCUCUCUAAGGAACUCGGCAAAAUGACCCCGUAACUUCGGGAGAAGGGGUGCCAAGUAACUUAAAUUGCUUGGUCGCAGUGACCAGGCCCUGGCGACUGUUUAUCAAAAACACAGGUCUCCGCAAAGUCGUAAGACAACAUAUGGGGGCUGACGCCUGCCCAGUGCCGGAAGGUUAAAGAAGUUGGUUAUUCAUUUUUGGAGAAGCUGACGACUGAAGCCCCGGUGAACGGCGGCCGUAACAAUAACGGUCCUAAGGUAGCGAAAUUCCUUGUCGGGUAAGUUCCGACCCGCACGAAAGGCGUAACGAUCAGGGCACUGUCUCGGAGAGAGACUCGGUGAAAUAGACAUGUCUGUGAAGAUGCGGACUACCUGCACCUGGACGGAAAGACCCUAUGAAGCUUGACUGUAGCUUGGAAUUGGGUUCGGGCUCUUCUUGCGCAGCCUAGGUGGGAGGCGUUGAAAGCUUUCUUUUGGGAAAGCUGGAGCCAUCAGUGAGAGACCACUCUGGAGGAGCUAGAAUUCUAAUGGCGUUCCUUGAAGCAGGACGCUUGACAGUUUCAGGUGGGCAGUUUGACUGGGGCGGUCACCUCCUAAAAGGUAACGGAGGUGUGCAAAGGUUCCCUCAGGCUGGACGGAAAUCAGCCGUAGAGUGUAAAGGCAGAAGGGAGCUUGACUGCAAGACCUACAAGUCGAGCAGGGGCGAAAGCCGGCCUUAGUGAUCCGACGGUUCCAUGUGGAAGGGCCGUCGCUCAACGGAUAAAAGUUACUCUAGGAUAACAGGCUGAUCUUCCCCAAGAGUUCACAUCGACGGGAAGGUUUGGCACCUCGAUGUCGGCUCAUCGCAACCUGGGGCGGUAGUACGUCCCAAGGGUUGGGCUGUUCGCCCAUGAAAGCGGUACGUGAGCUGGGUUCAGAACGUCGUGAGACAGUUCGGUCCAUAUCCGGUGUAGGCGCUAGAGCAUUGAGAGGAGCCUUCCAUAGUACGAGAGGACCUGGAAGGACGCACCUCUGGUAUACCAGUUAUCAUGCCUAUGGUACACGCUGGGUAGCCAUGUGCGGAGUGGAUAACCGCUGAAAGCAUCUAAGUGGGAAGCCCACCUCAAGAUGAGUGCUCUCCAUUAGGUCACAGGAAGACAACCUGUUUGAUAGGCAGAAGGUGUAAGGCCAGUAAUGGUUUCAGCUGAUCUGUACUAAUAGACCGAUUGA